AUGAGAGAAGAUGGCCUGCAAGGGGUCAAGAUAUGCAGGAGUGCUCCGGUUAUUUCACAUCUUUUGUUUGCGGACGAUUCACUGCUGUUCUUUCACGCUUCGGAACGGCAAACUAGUUUGGUCAAGAGUGUGUUGAACACGUAUUCGGCGGUGACUGGACAAUUAAUCAACCCGUCGAAGUGCUCCAUCCUCUUUUCAGGAAACUGCUUGCCAAGUGUGGUGCAUGAGGUUAAGUCUGUUCUGGAGAUUACACAAGAAGUUUUUGAACCUAAGUAUUUGGGUCUCCCGGUUCCGGAAGGAAGAAUACAUAAAGUAAAUUUUGAAACCAUCCAGGAUCGCUUGCGCAAGAAACUUAUUGACUGGAGUGAGCAAUAUGUGUCCUCUGGAAAUAAGGAGAUUUUGAUCAAGGUUGUAACACAAGCCCUACCCACUUAUGUUAUGAGUGUCUUCAAGCUCCCUGCUUCGGUCUGUGAUGAGCUGACUCGUAUGAUCCGCCAAUAUUGGUGGGGAGUCGAGAAUGAGAAGAAGAAGAUGGCAUGGAUGAGUUGGGACAAGUUGAGGCUACCUAAACCUAUGGGAGGCAUGGGGUUUAAGGAUAUGAGGGCAUUUAAUCAAGCUUUGUUGGCCAAACAAGCUUGGCGACUUAUAGACACGCCGAAUAGCCUGUGUGCAAGGCUUAUUAAGGCAAGAUACUAUCCUUCGAGACAGCUGCUUGUUACGUCGUUCUCAGACAAUGGUUCUUCAGUUUGGAAGGGUAUCUUACAUGGUCUUGACCUGCUA
RNAcentral lists this ribosomal RNA (780 nucleotides) under Triticum aestivum (bread wheat). RNAcentral's name for it is "partial small subunit ribosomal RNA". Lineage: Eukaryota; Viridiplantae; Streptophyta; Magnoliopsida; Poales; Poaceae. The record is from RNAcentral.